AAGUCCCUAACCAAGGCUGAUUUCCAGAGGUGCCUGCACAGAUGAGGAUGCACUGUGUCCACCCUCUCCUUCCCUACCAGGGGGUCUGCGGGUGCCCUGGCAGUGUGAGCAAACAGCACAUGAUGAACAGCACAAAAGAGCAGCAGACAGACUGCAAAGCAGAUAAACUGUGCAAAGACUGCCCAGUCAUCCCAGGAAAAGAACAAAAUUCACCUGAACCUGCCCACUGGUCCCCCUUUUUCUUCAAGGAGGACUACUUUGCAGAUGUCUCCAGUAUUUCAGGAAACAAACUUAAGAGAAGACAAAGAGCAAGUAUUCUUGUCACAGACAGAUAA
This 335-nucleotide long non-coding RNA is filed under the name Cyanistes caeruleus (blue tit). Its description in RNAcentral is "lncRNA (ENSCCEG00000004428.1)". The record is from RNAcentral. Lineage: Eukaryota; Metazoa; Chordata; Aves; Passeriformes; Paridae.